CCCGACACAGGUAUCGAAGCGUCGACACACAGGACACAUCACUAGUCUUUGGUCUUUUCUCCUGCACAGAUAGCAAGAAGCAGACGGCCGAGUUUAUUAAACUCCACCGAGACAGCGGUGACGCUAAUCAGAAGGCUAGACCGUCCAAUUUCACGCCUUUAAAUUUUAAAGGCGUGUUUGUGUGUGUGUUUAUACAAUUGCUAUUAUGUUUGCACUUUAUGUGUAAUGUUACUGACUGCAGAGAUCAGUAAGAUGUGUGUAUUUUUUAUUUAUUAGUUUUAUUUAUUUAAUAUUAUUUUUUAAUUGAAUGACUGUCUAGUAGUUCACAGAUGUCGAAAAACUGAGUGUGGUAAAGCCACUGAUUUUUUUUAUGUAUAUUUCUGCAAUCUGCACAUUGUACUGACUUUCAUUUUAAUGUUUACACCAGGGUUCCUUGUCAGCACUUUAUGCUCAGAUGUUUGUAAGCCAAAAAUAAACUAUUGUGUAUGUUCAAAUAUACUGUUGUGAUUGAAGAAGUAAAAUAAAAAUGUCAGUCA
Molecule: long non-coding RNA, 536 nt
Organism: Astatotilapia calliptera (eastern happy)
Lineage: Eukaryota; Metazoa; Chordata; Actinopteri; Cichliformes; Cichlidae
Source: Ensembl